CUAGCGCCCUACACGAUCUUCUACCAACCCCACACCGCCAUCAAGUCCCAAGCAUUGGCCGACUUCCUCGUCGACUGGGCCGAGACCCAGUACCUACCGCCGGCUCCCGACUCUACCCAUUGGCGGAUGCACUUUGACGGGUCCAAGAUGCGCACCGGCUUGGGAGCCGGCAUCGUCCUCACCUCUCCCAAAGGCGACAAGCUCAAGUACACACUGCAGAUCCACUUCGCCGCCUCCAACAACGUGGCCGAGUACGAGGCGCUCGUACAUGGGCUCCGUCUAGCCAAAGAGCUCGGCAUACGCCGGAUCCUGUGUUACGGCGAAUCAGACUUGGUGGUCCAGCAGUCGCCCGGCGACUGGGACGCCAAGGACGCGAACACGGCAAGCUAUCGAUUCCUCGUCCAGCAGAUCAGCAGAUACUUCGAAGGGUGCGAGUUCCUUCACGUGCCAAGGGCCGACAACGACCAAGCAGAUGCCCUAGCACGGAUCGGCUCCACCCGACAAGCCAUACCGACUGGCGUCUCCCUCCAGUGCCUCCUCAAGCCAUCCAUCAAGCCGUCUCCAGAGUCGGACUCUAUCUUCGUACCGCCUGCGCUAGAUGCAGCGGGAUCCGACUGGAGGAACCCCGCAGGCGGCACGGGGACUUCGACAACUGGCCCGGGGACUGCCAUAGUCGCACCCGGCCCGGGGACUGCAGCAGUCGGCCCGGGGACUGCAACGACACAAGAAGCGGUGGCCGACUCCAAUUCCACGCCACCCAACCCACCCACCCGAGUCAUGGUGGCUACACUAACAGAAGAAGAAGUCACAGCUCCAUCAUGGGCCCAGCCCAUCCUCAAGUUCCUAGUCAGCAGAGAGCUGCCGGCUGAUGAGAUCUCAGCAAGACUAGUGCAAUGA
Molecule: ribosomal RNA, 897 nt
Filed under: Triticum aestivum (bread wheat)
Lineage: Eukaryota; Viridiplantae; Streptophyta; Magnoliopsida; Poales; Poaceae
Description: partial small subunit ribosomal RNA
Source: RNAcentral